This 719-nucleotide small RNA is filed under the name Cryptococcus neoformans H99. Its description in RNAcentral is "Cryptococcus neoformans var. grubii H99 hypothetical RNA". The record is from RNAcentral. Lineage: Eukaryota; Fungi; Basidiomycota; Tremellomycetes; Tremellales; Cryptococcaceae.
CAGCAGCAAUUUUUAGCAUCGUGAAAUGGAAGUCGUCGAUGACGUUGUUGAGAGUAUAGGUCGUCACGUCCCUUUCCUCGAUUUCUGCGGAUCCUCGCGUUCGCCCUCCGCCUUUUUUUCAUCGCUUUCCUUUGGGAGCCUUAAGAGGGCAUCCCAGAGCCAGCCAAACAAAAGGCCAGAACAAGGGAAUUAGAAUGAGAGUCAUUGAUAUCGCGGCGAAAUACCCAAGGAUGACUUCAAACCAAAGAACAGGGUAAAACAAGUGAGAAGUAUUUUGAAUUAGGAACGAGACGCGUAUUUCGUAAUCUUCGUUCAUGACGUGGGGCUCAGGAAGGGACGGAGAAUGAAAGAAGGGCAAGGGGGGAUAACACGAGCAUACGCUGGUAUACGGCGGGCUACGCGGUAACAAGAAGGACACCGACCACAGGAGGUCAAUAUCCCUCAUUAGUUGUUAGCACCACUUACCUAUUAACAAUGUAUACCUUAUUAGGAACGCAGAGUUUAUAUACAUCCCGAAACACAGCAAGCAGGCCCCCGGACCAGCAGCUAUGAUUGGAGUCCUUGGAAGUUUAAGGUCAAAAAAGAUUAUCAGAAACAGGAAGUCUACUACUCUGUCAUAUGCGACAACGAAAGCGUGUGCGUAUUUAUGGCAUCGGGUCGAGACGAAUUAAUUAAGGUGCGUCGAUUGAGGCCAAGCGAGGGGAUUUUAGAGACUUGCC